GUGUGUAGGAGCGUGUGUGUACUGUGUUAUGUGUGUGUUAGAGCGUGUGUGUACUGUGUUAUGUGUGUGUUAGAGCGUGUGUGUACUGUGUUAUGUGCGUGUAAGAGCGUGUGUGUACUGUGUUAGAGCGUGUGUGUACUGUGUUAUGUGUGUGUUAGAGCGUGUGUACUGUGUUAUGUGUGUGUUAGAGCGUGUGUGUACUGUGUUAUGUGUGUGUUAGAGCGUGUGUGUACUGUGUUAUAGCGUGUGUGUACUGUGUUAUGUGUGUGUUAGAGCGUGUGUACUGUGUUAUGUGUGUGUUAGAGCGUGUGUGUACUGUGUUAUGUGUGUGUUAGAGCGUGUGUGUACUGUGUUAUGUGUGUGUAAGAGCGUGUGUGUACUGUGUUAUGUGUGUGUAAGAGCGUGUGUGUACUGUGUUAUGUGUGUGUUAGAGCGUGUGUGUACUGUGUUAUGUGUGUGUUAGAGCGUGUGUGUACUGUGUUAUGUGUGUGUUAGAGCGUGUGUGUACUGUGUUAUGUGUGUGUUAGAGCGUUUGUGUACUGUGUUAUGUGUGUGUAAGAGCGUGUGUGUACUGUGCUAUGUGUGUGUAAGAGCGUGUGUGUACUGUGUUAUGUGUGUGUAAGAGCGUGUGUGUACUGUGUUAUGUGUGUGUAAGAGCGUGUGUGUACUGUGUUAUGUGUGUGUUAGAGCGUGUGUGUACUGUGUUAUGUGUGUGUUAGAGCGUGUGUGUACUGUGUUAUGUGUGUGUUAGUGCGUGUGUGUACUGUGUUAUGCGUGUGUUAGAGCGUGUGUGUACUGUGUUAUGUGUGUGUUAG
This 815-nucleotide long non-coding RNA is filed under the name Salmo salar (Atlantic salmon). RNAcentral describes it as "lncRNA (ENSSSAG00000115318.1)". The record is from RNAcentral. Lineage: Eukaryota; Metazoa; Chordata; Actinopteri; Salmoniformes; Salmonidae.